This 120-nucleotide ribosomal RNA is filed under the name archaeon. The record is from RNAcentral.
UCAGCCGGCCAUAGCGCGCGGGUCCUACCCAGACUCGUUCCGAUCCUGGAAGUAAAACCGCGCGUCGCCUUGGUGUUAGUGAAGUGCGAGAGCCUUCGCGAAGCCCAGGUGCCGGCACCC